UUGAACGCUGGCGGAAUGCUUUACACAUGCAAGUCGAACGGCAGCACGGGGGCAACCCUGGUGGCGAGUGGCGAACGGGUGAGUAACACAUCGGAACGUGUCCUGUAAUGGGGGAUAACCUGGCGAAAGCCAGGCUAAUACCGCAUACGUCCUGAGGGAGAAAGCGGGGGAUCGCAAGACCUCGCGUUAUAGGAGCGGCCGAUGUCGGAUUAGCUAGUUGGUGGGGUAAAGGCCUACCAAGGCGACGAUCCGUAGCGGGUCUGAGAGGACGGCCCGCCACACUGGGACUGAGACACGGCCCAGACUCCUACGGGAGGCAGCAGUGGGGAAUUUUGGACAAUGGGCGCAAGCCUGAUCCAGCCAUGCCGCGUGAGUGAAGAAGGCCUUCGGGUUGUAAAGCUCUUUCGGCCGGGAAGAAAUCGCAUCCUCUAAUACGGGGUGUGGAUGACGGUACCGGAAGAAGAAGCACCGGCUAACUACGU
RNAcentral lists this ribosomal RNA (482 nucleotides) under uncultured bacterium. Its description in RNAcentral is "bacterial SSU rRNA". It matches the Rfam family "Bacterial small subunit ribosomal RNA", at positions 29 to 506 of the family's 1533-position model. The record is from RNAcentral.